GCAAGGACAUGUGGAGCGCUUAGAAGUGAGAAUGCCGGUGUGAGUAGCGAAAGACGGGUGAGAAUCCCGUCCACCGAUUGACUAAGGUUUCCAGAGGAAGGCUCGUCCGCUCUGGGUUAGUCGGGUCCUAAGCUGAGGCCGACAGGCGUAGGCGAUGGAUAACAGGUUGAUAUUCCUGUACCACCUAGCAUCGUUUUAAUCGAUGGGGGGACGCAGUAGGAUAGGCGAAGCGUACGAUUGGAUUGUACGUCUAAGCAGUGAGAUUGAGUGUUAGGCAAAUCCGGCACUCUUAAGAUUGAGCUGUGAUGGGGAGAGGAAAUUGUUUCCUCGAGUCGUUGAUUUCACACUGCCGAGAAAAGCCUCUAGAUAGAUAAUAGGUGCCCGUACCGCAAACCGACACAGGUAGUCAAGAUGAGAAUUCUAAGGUGAGCGAGCGAACUCUCGUUAAGGAACUCGGCAAAAUGACCCCGUAACUUCGGGAGAAGGGGUGCUCUUUAGGGUGCAAGCCCAGAAGAGCCGCAGUGAAUAGGCCCAAGCGACUGUUUAUCAAAAACACAGGUCUCUGCUAAACCGUAAGGUGAUGUAUAGGGGCUGACGCCUGCCCGGUGCUGGAAGGUUAAGAGGAGUGGUUAGCUUCUGCGAAGCUACGAAUCGAAGCCCCAGUAAACGGCGGCCGUAACUAUAACGGUCCUAAGGUAGCGAAAUUCCUUGUCGGGUAAGUUCCGACCCGCACGAAAGGCGUAACGAUUUGGGCACUGUCUCAACGAGAGACUCGGUGAAAUCAUAGUACCUGUGAAGAUGCAGGUUACCCGCGACAGGACGGAAAGACCCCGUGGAGCUUUACUGUAGCCUGAUAUUGAAAUUCGGCACAGCUUGUACAGGAUAGGUAGGAGCCUUUGAAACGUGAGCGCUAGCUUACGUGGAGGCG
Molecule: ribosomal RNA, 928 nt
Filed under: Staphylococcus haemolyticus
Lineage: Bacteria; Bacillati; Bacillota; Bacilli; Caryophanales; Staphylococcaceae
Description: partial 23S ribosomal RNA
Rfam family: Bacterial large subunit ribosomal RNA
Source: RNAcentral